GACGAACGCUGGCGGCGUGCUUAAUACAUGCAAGUCGAACGGAAAGGCCCUGCUUUUGUGGGGUGCUCGAGAGGCGAACGGGUGAGUAACACGUGAGUAACCUGCACUUGACUUUGGGAUAACAUCAGGAAACUGGGGCUAAUAUCGGAUAGGAGCUCCUGCUGCACGGUGGGGGUUGGUAAGUUUCGGCGGUUGGGGCUGGUCUCGAGGCUUAUCAGCUUGUUGGUGGGGUAGUGGCUUACCAAGGCUGUGACGGGUAGCCGGCCUGAGAGGGUGACCGGCCACAUUGGGACUGAGAGACGGACCAGACGCCUACGGGAGGCAGCAGUGGGGAAUAUUGCACAAUGGGCGGGAGCCUGAUGCAGCGGCGCCGCGUGCGGGAUGACGGCCUUCGGGGUAUAAACCGCUUUCGCCUGUGACGAAGCGUGAGUGACGGUAAUGGGUAAAGAAGCACCUGCUAACUACGUG
This 468-nucleotide ribosomal RNA is filed under the name uncultured bacterium. Its description in RNAcentral is "partial 16S ribosomal RNA". It matches the Rfam family "Bacterial small subunit ribosomal RNA", at positions 28 to 507 of the family's 1533-position model. The record is from RNAcentral.